UACGUAGGGUCCGAGCGUUAAUCGGAAUUACUGGGCGUAAAGCGUGCGCAGGCGGUUUUUGUAAGCCAGAUGUGAAAAUCCCCCGAGCUUAACUUGGGAACUGCAUUUGGGACUGCAAGGCUGGAGUACGGCAGAGGGAGGUGGAAUUCCACGUGUAGCAGUGAAAUGCGUAGAGAUGUGGAGGAACACCGAUGGCGAAGGCAGCCUCCUGGGCUAGUACUGACGCUCAUGCACGAAAAGCGUGGGGGAGCAAACAGG
RNAcentral lists this ribosomal RNA (258 nucleotides) under uncultured bacterium. RNAcentral's name for it is "partial 16S ribosomal RNA". It matches the Rfam family "Bacterial small subunit ribosomal RNA", at positions 524 to 776 of the family's 1533-position model. The record is from RNAcentral.